CCUACGGGAGGCAGCAGUGAGGAAUAUUGGUCAAUGGACGAGAGUCUGAACCAGCCAAGUAGCGUGAAGGAUGACUGCCCUAUGGGUUGUAAACUUCUUUUAUAAAGGAAUAAAACGAGGCACGUGUGCCUUUUUGCAUGUACUUUAUGAAUAAGGAUCGGCUAACUCCGUGCCAGCAGCCGCGGUAAUACGGAGGAGCCGAGCGUUAUCCGGAUUUAUUGGGUUUAAAGGGAGCGUAGAUGGGUUGUUAAGUCAGUUGUGAAAGUUUGCGGCUCAACCGUAAAAUUGCAAUUGAUACUGGCAGUCGUGAGUACAGUUGAGGUAGGCGGAAUUCGUGGUGUAGCGGUGAAAUGCUUAGAUAUCACGAAGAACCCCGAUUGCGAAGGCAGCUUACUAAACUGUGACUGACAUUGAUGCUCGAAAGUGUGGGUAUCAAACAGGAUUAGAUACCCGUGUAGUC
Molecule: ribosomal RNA, 460 nt
Filed under: uncultured bacterium
Lineage: Bacteria
Description: partial 16S ribosomal RNA
Rfam family: Bacterial small subunit ribosomal RNA
Source: RNAcentral